GAGACCUCAGGUCAGGCGGGGCUACC
This 26-nucleotide non-coding RNA is filed under the name Drosophila melanogaster (fruit fly). The record is from RNAcentral. Lineage: Eukaryota; Metazoa; Arthropoda; Insecta; Diptera; Drosophilidae. RNAcentral also lists the same sequence under 2 other names.